GAUCAUGGCUCAGGACGAACGCUGGCGGCGUGCCUAAUACAUGCAAGUAGAACGCUGAAGGAGGAGCUUGCUUCUCUGGAUGAGUUGCGAACGGGUGAGUAACGCGUAGGUAACCUGCCUGGUAGCGGGGGAUAACUAUUGGAAACGAUAGCUAAUACCGCAUAAGAGUAGAUGUCGCAUGACAUAUGCUUAAAAGGUGCAAUUGCAUCACUACCAGAUGG
RNAcentral lists this ribosomal RNA (221 nucleotides) under uncultured bacterium. RNAcentral's name for it is "partial 16S ribosomal RNA". It matches the Rfam family "Bacterial small subunit ribosomal RNA", at positions 15 to 228 of the family's 1533-position model. The record is from RNAcentral.